ACUGCCUGUGUGUUGGGCAGAAGGACCUCUGUCUCGCAAGCUCUGAUGACUGGAAGACAAGCAGAUGAAGCCUCCAUCUUUUACUCUAAGACUACUGUACCCAGAGCUAAGGUGACGCUGCCCCCCUCAACCUGGCUGUGACCUGAUCUCUGGGUAUAGCAAGGACGGCCUGCCUCCCCUUCAGGUCUUCCAAAUGCCACUUGAGCCUCAGAAACCCAGGACUUCCUAAUGGAGGGCCUCCCAGGAGCGAUGAGAAAUUUGUUAGAAACUUCCCACCUGCACCAGAGUAAGACUGAAGACUCCCUUUUCUUAUCUUCCUAAGGGAUCCAGUCUGGCCAUGAUGUAAACUGAGGACCUGUUUGAACAGUGUUUGGAGAACAUAAGAUACCAAACUCAGGAGGCCUUCCAUUUGCAGUAAAAUAGAGGAAGUGAGUAGCACAGCCCGCAUCAGUGGAGAAGAGAAGCAGUGUUCAGGUCAAGAGACACCAUGCAGGCGUGCGGAUGUAACUCAGUGGGGGAGCUAUAACCUUGUAAGUGUGACAUCCUGGGUUCCAUACACACCAAAGACAGACAGACAGACAGACAGACAUCACCCCCAGCCCACCUCCUGGAGGGGCAGUGUCAGUCGGAACCCAACCCUUUUGCUCAACACAUACUUCCAUAAUCAGGAAGUGAGACCAGCAGGAACAGGAUGAUCAGUUAAGUAGAAGUCUUUGCUAGUUAUUUUACACCUCCACACGUUUACUUCUAAGUCAGUUUUUGUGUCUUUAUUUAAGAGGGCCCUACUAGUCAAUCUCAAGCCUAUCUCUCCUUUAAAAAUAAAUAAAUGAGGACUAGGAAGUAAACAGCAAGAGUGCUCCCCUAGCGUGCUCAGACAGGGCCUGGGCUGGACCCCCAGCACCACAACUGAUUAAAUGUCAGUUGUAUCUCUGCCUUGGGAACAGACAUCACCAAAGGUGGUGAAAGACCCCUCGACCUCACCUUCACUGCCCUAUAGAGAUGACCCCGAAAGAGGUGGAUCAAUGGUUGGAGGAGGCCCUGAUCUCACGGGUCCCCCCUACCAGGCCCACCUGCCCACUCGCAGGAGAGGAGAGGCCUCAUGCCCUCCAAACCCUUCCUCCAGCCCUUCCUGGAGGGACAGAACUCUGAACUGGGAGUCGGAGGCCCGGGAGGCUCUGUGCCUGCUUCUGUUCCCACCCGGCUGGCUGACCUUGGGCAUGGCAUUUCCCACCCACACCUCAGUUUCCCUGUCUCGGAAAUGAAAGGUUUGAUGGAGAUCACGUGAAACCUCCUUCCUGCUCUCAACUUCCAGUUGCAUUAUCCUGACAUACAAACGUGCCUUGCAGAAACAGCAGCGACAAGCUGCUCCACAUUCUGUGACCACCCGCCUCAAUAAUUCGUGUCAUUUUAGAAAAGCGAGAUGCACCCAAAACUGAGAAUCAGGUUGUUGCUUCCCCGACACUGAACAUGACUGUGUGGAUUUUC
Long non-coding RNA from Chinchilla lanigera (long-tailed chinchilla), 1485 nucleotides. RefSeq lists it as uncharacterized. Lineage: Eukaryota; Metazoa; Chordata; Mammalia; Rodentia; Chinchillidae. The record is from RefSeq and is a predicted model, not a curated record. The transcript has 4 exons.